Molecule: ribosomal RNA, 401 nt
Filed under: uncultured bacterium
Lineage: Bacteria
Description: partial 16S ribosomal RNA
Rfam family: Archaeal small subunit ribosomal RNA
Source: RNAcentral
ACACCGGCAGCCCAAGUGGUGGCCAUUUUUAUUGGGCCUAAAGCGUUCGUAGCCGGCCUGAUAAGUCUCUGGUGAAAUCCCGCAGCUUAACUGUGGGAAUUGCUGGAGAUACUAUCAGGCUUGAGGUCGGGAGAGGUUAGAGGUACUCCCAGGGUAGGGGUGAAAUCCUAUAAUCCUGGGAGGACCACCUGUGGCGAAGGCGUCUAACGGGAACGAACCUGACGGUGAGUAACGAAAGCCAGGGGCGCGAACCGGAUUAGAUACCCGGGUAGGCCUGGCCGUAAACGAUGUGGACUUGGUGUUGGGAUGGCCUCGAGCUGCCCCAGUGCCGAAGGGAAGCUGUUAAGUCCACCGCCUGGGAAGUACGGUCGCAAGACUGAAACUCAAAGGAAUUGGCGGGG